Molecule: ribosomal RNA, 254 nt
Filed under: uncultured bacterium
Lineage: Bacteria
Description: partial 16S ribosomal RNA
Rfam family: Bacterial small subunit ribosomal RNA
Source: RNAcentral
UACGGGGGGAGCAAGCGUUGUUCGGAUUUACUGGGCGUAAAGGGCGCGUAGGCGGUCGUGACAAGUCACUUGUGAAAUCUCCGGGCUUAACUCGGAACGGUCAAGUGAUACUGUCGGACUAGAGUACAGAAGGGGCAACUGGAAUUCUCGGUGUAGCGGUGAAAUGCGUAGAUAUCAGGAGGAACACCAAUAGCGAAGGCAGCUCGCUGGGACGGUAUUGACGCUGAGGCGCGAAAGCGUGGGGAGCAAACAGG